CUGGCUGCUUCCAGCAGAUAUAAGGGAGGCGCCAUAGUAUGUGGGGUCUGAGGUUGGAAUGCGGAAAUAGGGCUGGACCGCCGUCUGAUGAAAUGCCACCUGGGAAACUUCAUGAAUUCGUUUCCCUACGAAACGGAGAAAACAAGCAAGGAAUGAUUAAAGUUGAGCUGAUGUCAAUGUGUGCUGGGCACCCUGGGACCCAAGUCUCAAAGUGAAACAUAUCCGAGUUCAUAUAAUCCAACCAGCUUCCAGCUUGUUUCUGCAGUGGAGAAAUCGUGCAUUUUGACACCAGCUCUUCAUUUGAUAAUCACUUCCAGAAUUCCCCUCAUCAAAGACGCAGAAGGUAACAAGCCUUCCUCCUUGAGGCCUUCUUAGACUGUUCCAGACACUCCAACUUACCCAACUGAUGUCAUCCAUGAGUACAAAACACACGUACCCACCAUCUGCCUUAACGAAAGGGGCAAAGGCUUUGACACAGUGUCUUCACUUGGGGACACACCAAUAUCCCCUGGUCAUCUUCUACAUUUCUGGCCAUCCCUUCUCAGCCUCCUUGGCCAGUUCUUCCUAGAGGAGUGUCCCCACUUUCACAGUUAAGUACCAUCUCUGUGCCAAUGACGUACAAUUUUUUUCUGUUUACACCUUGGGUCUUUUUCCUGAAUUCCAAACCUGUACCUACCACUUACCUAAUUUUGAUGCUUCGUGAUCUGUCUCACUGCACUGAACUGGCUUCAUUACAAGAAGAAUGACUUUGGUUACUUCUCUAUUAUCAGGGCCUAAAAUAAUGUCCAGCACAUGAGAGGAACUUCUACAUCACUGGGGCGGAGGGGGGCGGUGAAUGAAGAGUGAAAAGUCAUGACUGAUCAGUGUUCUCAUGGAGACUUCACUGUCUCAGCCCAUGAACCUCAAAUUCUCAGAUGACCCCAAAGAGCACAAAGGACAGGCAGCAAGUUGACCCCAAAAUGCUCAUAGUUCAACAGCUAAUAUAGUGAUAGAUGCAGCACACAGAAAGUGUCCUGGAGCAGAUGCCUGGAAUCUAAUGAUCAGAACCGAAUAACGACUGGGCCACUCGGGAAGGAGGUUUGUCAGUCUGGCACACAGUGAAGGAAGAGGAUCAGAGGGCGGCUCUGUCACUGCCCAACCAAGAACCGUCUGGGGCUCAGGUCUGGACACCUUCCCUGCAGUUUCUGAGUCGGGAUAUGAGGGUGGCCUCAUUGAGCUGUGGUUCAUAAAGGGAUGCCCUGGUGAGUCCUGGUGAAAGGACCGCCCCUUUUGAGAUGAAUGUCUUUAUAUAGGCCAAGUCAGUCUCCCUGGCUAGUUAGCUACAAUCAUCUUUUUGCCUGGGGCUUUGGAACUUUGGAUCAUUUUGCACUUUCUCCUUGUACAUUCUUGGAGAAGAGGUUCAAAUUCUCUCAGGAUACUGAUGGUUUAAUUAGAUUCUCAGGCUUAAAACACCAUGAUCCUAAAUAAAUAGUAAAGAAAGAAAGGAAAGGAAAGGAAGGAAAGUGUAGGAAGGAAGAAAGAAAAGGGAGGGAAGGAAGGAAGGGGAGGGGGGGAGGGGGGGAAGGAGGGAGGGAGGAAAGAAGGAAGGAAGGGGAGGGAGGAAGGAAGGAGGCAGGUGGUAGGUGGGCAGGCAGGCGUGAAGCAUCACAGUCUGUAAAACUGUAGCUACAGCGCCACCUGCUGUUAGGCAUGAAACACUGGCAGGUGAACCACAUCGCUGUGAAAACCUAAAAUGUUCCUACAUAUGCCAGGAAACUACCAGAAGCAGUGAAGGCACUGGAAACUCGGAUGUUGCUGAGAAAACAGGGCAUGAGUGAAGAAAACCCAUCUCAAGCAAACAAUCCUCGACUUCACCCUUUGAAGACUAAUUGUUAGAGACGGAUGUAAACAAAAGAUUCUCUUUUGAGAGAUACACACAAGAUAUUAAGCGCGACCACUUCCUACGCCGUACUUCUGUCUUGCUAGCUGCUGGGUUUUGCUAAGCCUUGACUUUUAACAAGCACUACUACAAGUGAGCAGUUAC
This is a long non-coding RNA of Leopardus geoffroyi (Geoffroy's cat), 2023 nucleotides long. RefSeq lists it as uncharacterized. The transcript has 5 exons. The record is from RefSeq and is a predicted model, not a curated record. NCBI's taxonomy places the organism in Eukaryota, Metazoa, Chordata, Mammalia, Carnivora, Felidae.